Molecule: ribosomal RNA, 743 nt
Filed under: uncultured bacterium
Lineage: Bacteria
Description: bacterial SSU rRNA
Rfam family: Bacterial small subunit ribosomal RNA
Source: RNAcentral
AGAGUUUGAUCAUGGCUCAGGGCGAACGCUGGCGGCAGGCCUAACACAUGCAAGUCGAGCGCCGUAGCAAUACGGAGCGGCAGACGGGUGAGUAACGCGUGGGAACGUGCCCUUCGGUUCGGAAUAACUCAGGGAAACUUGAGUUAAUACCGGAUACGUCCGAAAGGAGAAAGAUUUAUCGCCGAAGGAUCGGCCCGCGUAAGAUUAGCUAGUUGGUGAGGUAACGGCUCACCAAGGCUCUGAUCUUUAGCUGGUCUGAGAGGACGAUCAGCCACACUGGGACUGAGACACGGCCCAGACUCCUACGGGAGGCAGCAGUGGGGAAUAUUGGACAAUGGGCGCAAGCCUGAUCCAGCCAUGCCGCGUGAGUGAUGAAGGCCUUAGGGUUGUAAAGCUCUUUUGGCAGGGACGAUAAUGACUGUACCUGCAGAAUAAGCCCCGGCCAACUUCGUGCCAGCAGCCGCGGUAAUACGAAGGGGGCUAGCGUUGCUCGGAAUCACUGGGCGUAAAGCGCACGUAGGCGGGUCGUUAAGUCGGGGGUGAAAUCCUGGAGCUCAACUCCAGAACUGCCUUCGAUACUGGCGAUCUUGGAGUCCGGGAGAGGUGGGUGGAACUGCGAGUGUAGAGGUGAAAUUCGUAGAUAUUCGCAAGAACACCAGUGGCGAAGGCGGCUCACUGGCCCGGUACUGACGCUGAGGUGCGAAAGCGUGGGGAGCAAACAGGAUUAGAUACCCCCGUAGUCC